Molecule: ribosomal RNA, 510 nt
Filed under: Hercostomus chetifer
Lineage: Eukaryota; Metazoa; Arthropoda; Insecta; Diptera; Dolichopodidae
Description: partial 16S ribosomal RNA
Rfam family: Bacterial large subunit ribosomal RNA
Source: RNAcentral
GUCUUUUUGAGAUUAAUUUAAAGUCUGAUCUGCCCACUGAUAAUUAUUUAAGGGCCGCAGUAUUUUGACUGUGCAAAGGUAGCAUAAUCAUUAGUCUUUUAAUUGAAGGCUCGUAUGAAUGAUUGGACGAAGUGUAAUCUGUCUCAUAAAAAUUAGAGUAGAAUUUUAUUUUUUAGUUAAAAAGCUAAAAUAUAUUUAAAAGACGAGAAGACCCUAUAGAUCUUUAUAAUUUAUUAAUUAAUUUUUUUAGGUUAUUUUUUAAUUUAAUUAACUAAAUUAUUUUGUUGGGGUGACAGUGAAAUUUAAUAAACUUUCACUAUUUUAUAACAUUAAUUUAUGAAUAUUUGAUCCAUUAUUAUUGAUUAAAAAUUUAAGUUACCUUAGGGAUAACAGCGUAAUUAUUUUGGAGAGUUCUUAUCGAUAAAAUAGUUUGCGACCUCGAUGUUGGAUUAAGAUUAAUUCUGGGUGUAGCAGUUCAGUUUAUUAAGUCUGUUCGACUUUUAAUUUCUU